GACGAACGCUGGCGGCGUGCCUAAUACAUGCAAGUCGAGCGCAGGAAAUCGACGGAACCCUUCGGGGGGAAGUCGACGGAAUGAGCGGCGGACGGGUGAGUAACACGUAAAGAACCUGCCCUCAGGUCUGGGAUAACCACGAGAAAUCGGGGCUAAUACCGGAUGGGUCAUCGGACCGCAUGGUCCGAGGAUGAAAGGCGCUUCGGCGUCGCCUGGGGAUGGCUUUGCGGUGCAUUAGCUAGUUGGUGGGGUAAUGGCCCACCAAGGCGACGAUGCAUAGCCGACCUGAGAGGGGGAGCGGCCACACUGGGACGGGGACACGGCCCAGACUCCUACGGGAGGCAGCAGUAGGGAAUCUUCCACAAUGGACGAAAGUCUGAUGGAGCAACGCCGCGUGAACGAUGAAGGCCUUCGGGUCGUAAAGUUCUGUUGUAAGGGAAGAACAAGUGCCGCAGGCAAUGGCGGCACCUUGACGGUACCUUGCGAGAAAGCCACGGCUAACUACGUGCCAGCAGCCGCGGUAA
Molecule: ribosomal RNA, 524 nt
Filed under: uncultured bacterium
Lineage: Bacteria
Description: partial 16S ribosomal RNA
Rfam family: Bacterial small subunit ribosomal RNA
Source: RNAcentral